UUUCAUUGGUAUUAAUAGUUAAGAUCUUUAAAUUAAAAGAAUUUGACGGUAAUUUAUCAUUUCAGAGGAACCUGUCCUUUAAUCGAUAAUCCACGUUAAAUUUUACCUUGAUUUUUUGCUUAUAUACCUCUGUUUUUGGAGUGUUUUAUUAGAAUUUAUUCUCUUGAAUUAUUUUAUAAUUUAUAUCAGGUCAAGGUUUAGCUAUAUUAAGGUUGAGAUGGGUUACAUUUAAUUGUAUUAUUGGAUUUUUAUAUUUAUUUAUAAAUUGAAAUUGGAUUUGAUUGUAAUUUAUAUUAUUUUUUAUUUAUGAUAUUUGUUCUAGAUUAAG
RNAcentral lists this ribosomal RNA (328 nucleotides) under Elasmucha broussonetiae. Its description in RNAcentral is "partial 12S rRNA". Lineage: Eukaryota; Metazoa; Arthropoda; Insecta; Hemiptera; Acanthosomatidae. The record is from RNAcentral.